GUAUAAGGUUUAUAGGCGCAUGGGCCUAAUGAUACAUUCUGUUACAUACAAUGGGGUAUAUGAAAAACAUAGACCUGGAAAUGCAAGGAAAGCCAGCUAACGCGAGCAGUCCUCCCGUCCAAGUUGCCUCGGAAAGUCAAUCCAAGUCUACAAAAAGUGCACAGGUGGAGAGAUGAGGAUGGUGGGUGUGCACAUGCCCCCGAGGGGGCCAGCGACAACCACACCAAGUUCAUUCAAUAAUGAUCCUUCCGCAGGUUCACCUACGGAAA
RNAcentral lists this unclassified non-coding RNA (269 nucleotides) under uncultured fungus. RNAcentral describes it as "sequence contains ITS1". The record is from RNAcentral. Lineage: Eukaryota; Fungi.